Molecule: small nucleolar RNA, 117 nt
Filed under: Saccharolobus islandicus HVE10/4
Lineage: Archaea; Thermoproteati; Thermoproteota; Thermoprotei; Sulfolobales; Sulfolobaceae
Also listed under: 1 other name
Description: Sulfolobus islandicus HVE10/4 non-coding RNA
Rfam family: Small nucleolar RNA sR11 (bases 56-114)
Source: RNAcentral
GAGUGAAGAAUUACCCUCGGACAGAUUAAUGAUGAAGAGAAGGCAUUUGUCGGAUUUAAAUGAUGAGCUUGACCACUUAUGAAGCUAGAUGAUAUAACAAAGGUAGCCGCUGAGUAU